This 121-nucleotide small RNA is filed under the name Magnetospirillum molischianum DSM 120. RNAcentral's name for it is "Phaeospirillum molischianum DSM 120 yybP-ykoY". It matches the Rfam family "Manganese Mn2+ riboswitch aptamer (yybP-ykoY)", at positions 1 to 121 of the family's 177-position model. Rfam says of the family: This RNA was originally discovered in E. coli during a large scale screen and was named SraF. The family was later found to exist upstream of related families of protein genes in many bacteria, including the the yybP and ykoK genes in B. subtilis. Lineage: Bacteria; Pseudomonadati; Pseudomonadota; Alphaproteobacteria; Rhodospirillales; Rhodospirillaceae. The record is from RNAcentral.
UAAUCCGUCAUUGGGGAGUAGCCUCUCUCGACCAAUCGAGAGGGAUGCGUCAACAGACUUGGGUCAGCAUGGCUCAUGGCGCAUCCGGCAGUGGUCGCUUGGCGAGACCUUUGGUUUUAGC